This 371-nucleotide ribosomal RNA is filed under the name uncultured bacterium. Its description in RNAcentral is "bacterial SSU rRNA". It matches the Rfam family "Bacterial small subunit ribosomal RNA", at positions 133 to 507 of the family's 1533-position model. The record is from RNAcentral.
AUACAGGAGGAUAGCCUAGGGAAACCUGGAUUAACCCUUCAUAGUAUUAUUGGAUGGCAUCAUUGAUAUUAAAACUGAGGUGGUAUAGGAUGGGCAUGCGUCUGAUUAGUAGUUGCGGGGUAAUGGCCCACCAAGACGAUGAUCAGUAGGGGUUCUGAGAGGAAGAUCCCCCCACACUGGCACUGAGAUACGGGCCAGACUCCUACGGGAGGCAGCAGUAGGGAAUAUUGGUCAAUGGAUGCAAGUCUGAACCAGCCAUGCCGCGUGCAGGAAGAAGGCCUUCUGGGUUGUAAACUGCUUUUGCCGGGGAUAAAAGAUCCAUGCGUGGAGAAUUGAAGGUACCCGGUGAAUAAGCCACGGCUAACUACGUG